This 497-nucleotide ribosomal RNA is filed under the name uncultured bacterium. Its description in RNAcentral is "partial 16S ribosomal RNA". It matches the Rfam family "Bacterial small subunit ribosomal RNA", at positions 28 to 507 of the family's 1533-position model. The record is from RNAcentral.
GAUGAACGCUGGCGGCGUGCCAAAUACAUGCAAGUCGAGCGAACAGACGAGGAGCUUGCUCCUCUGACGUUAGCGGCGGACGGGUGAGUAACACGUGGAUAACCUACCUAUAAGACUGGGAUAACUUCGGGAAACCGGAGCUAAUACCGGAUAAUAUAUUGAACCGCAUGGUUCAAUAGUGAAAGACGGUUUUGCUGUCACUUAUAGAUGGAUCCGCGCCGCAUUAGCUAGUUGGUAAGGUAACGGCUUACCAAGGCGACGAUGCGUAGCCGACCUGAGAGGGUGAUCGGCCACACUGGAACUGAGGCACGGUCCAGACUCCUACGGGAGGCAGCAGUAGGGAAUCUUCCGCAAUGGGCGAAAGCCUGACGGAGCAACGCCGCGUGAGUGAUGAAGGUCUUCGGAUCGUAAAACUCUGUUAUUAGGGAAGAACAAAUGUGUAAGUAACUAUGCACGUCUUGACGGUACCUAAUCAGAAAGCCACGGCUAACUACGUG